This is a long non-coding RNA of Thalassophryne amazonica, 234 nucleotides long. RefSeq lists it as uncharacterized. The transcript is spliced from 3 exons. The record is from RefSeq and is a predicted model, not a curated record. Lineage: Eukaryota; Metazoa; Chordata; Actinopteri; Batrachoidiformes; Batrachoididae.
AACAGUCUUUUCAGUCUUCAUGAAUUUCAUGUAGUUUAAAUGUUCUGAGUUAAUGCAUAAUUUGGGUUACAGUUAAAAAGGAAAAUCAUUCCAUGUCCUACUUCCAUGUCAUUCUGUUAUUUCAACAUUAUCACUGACAGUUUAAAUGAAAUGUUGAAUUUAGGAUCAUUUAAAAAUGCACUUCUUUUGAGAUUUUUUCCUUCCACGAAAUGCUGAAAAUAUCACUCCAAACAU